Molecule: ribosomal RNA, 253 nt
Filed under: uncultured bacterium
Lineage: Bacteria
Description: partial 16S ribosomal RNA
Rfam family: Bacterial small subunit ribosomal RNA
Source: RNAcentral
UACGUAGGGGGCAAGCGUUGUCCGGAUUUAUUGGGCGUAAAGAGCGCGUAGGCGGCCUUCUAAGUCGAACGUGAAAUCCCCGGGCUCAACCCGGGAACUGCGUCCGAUACUGGAAGGCUUGAAUUCGGGAGAGGGAUGCGGAAUUCCAGGUGUAGCGGUGAAAUGCGUAGAUAUCUGGAGGAACACCGGUGGCGAAGGCGGCAUCCUGGACCGGCAUUGACGCUGAGGCGCGAAAGCCAGGGGAGCAAACGGG